This 493-nucleotide long non-coding RNA is filed under the name Nicotiana tabacum (common tobacco). RNAcentral describes it as "long non-coding RNA (NTAB_LNC001473)". The record is from RNAcentral. Lineage: Eukaryota; Viridiplantae; Streptophyta; Magnoliopsida; Solanales; Solanaceae.
UGGCCGCUAUCCCUAUAAAUAUCUCAACAAAGUAGUAGCUUUAGUUCAUUAGUUGUUUGUGCUUCACUAGUCAUCUAAACAAAACCAAACACCUUUCCUUUGGCCUCUCCUCCUUUUAUCUUUUAUAUCAAUCCUCAUCUUCAAUAACACCACUCUCAAAACAAAUGAGAAACUUAUUCCCCAUAUUUAUGUUAAUCACCAAUCUAGCAUUCAACGACAACAACAACAGUAAUAAUAUCAUCAACACGACCUGCAGAGCCACCACAAACUACCCCUUGUGCCUCACCACCCUCCACUCUGAUCCCCGUACCUCCGAGGCCGAGGGGGCGGACCUCACCACCCUCGGCCUCGUCAUGGUAGAUGCGGUAAAAUUAAAGUCCAUCGAAAUAAUGAAAAGUAUAAAAAAACUCGAAAAAUCGAACCCCGAGUUGAGACUACCUCUUAGCCAAUGUUACAUAGUGUAUUAUGCUGUUCUACAUGCUGAUGUAACUGU